Molecule: ribosomal RNA, 60 nt
Filed under: Pestalotiopsis mangiferae
Lineage: Eukaryota; Fungi; Ascomycota; Sordariomycetes; Amphisphaeriales; Sporocadaceae
Description: partial 28S ribosomal RNA
Rfam family: Eukaryotic large subunit ribosomal RNA
Source: RNAcentral
UUGACCUCGGAUCAGGUAGGAAUACCCGCUGAACUUAAGCAUAUCAAUAAGCGGAGGGAA